UGCAGAAUCCCGUGAACCAUCGAGUCUUUGAACGCAAGUUGCGCCCGAAGCCGUCAGGCCAAGGGCACGUCUGCCUGGGUGUCACGCAUCGUCGCCCCAUCCAGCUCCUCUCAGAAACGGGAGGGGCGGGGUCGGACAUUGGCCUCCCGUGUGCGUACUGUAUGCGGCUGGCCAAAAUCCGGGGACCGGACGUUUAGUUUCCGACCAGCGGUGGUUGAACCUCAUGCUCGUGUCGGAUGCCUGCCGUCCAAGUGUCCCUACGGCUCUUCCGAGGCACCUCGGUGCCCUCUCUAAACGAGACCCCAGGUCAGGCGGGAUCACCCGCUGAGUUUAAGCAUAUCAAUAAGCGGAGGAAAAGAAACUAACAAGGAUUCCCCUAGUAACGGCGAGCGAACCGGGAGUAGCCCAGCUUGAAAAUCGGUCGCUUUCGGCGUCCGA
This 438-nucleotide ribosomal RNA is filed under the name Reseda lutea (yellow mignonette). RNAcentral describes it as "eukaryotic LSU rRNA". The stretch from base 298 to 438 matches the Rfam family "Eukaryotic large subunit ribosomal RNA", at positions 1 to 141 of the family's 3401-position model. The record is from RNAcentral. Lineage: Eukaryota; Viridiplantae; Streptophyta; Magnoliopsida; Brassicales; Resedaceae.